RNAcentral lists this long non-coding RNA (615 nucleotides) under Arabidopsis thaliana (thale cress). RNAcentral's name for it is "long non-coding RNA (ATHA_LNC000056)". Lineage: Eukaryota; Viridiplantae; Streptophyta; Magnoliopsida; Brassicales; Brassicaceae. The record is from RNAcentral.
UUGGAUGAUUUGGAGAAGAUUGUGAAUCCUAAUGUGGCGAUGGCAAUGCCGACGAGGACGAAGACGAGUCUCUGUUCUCUGAGCAUGUAACGGAUCGGACGAAUCGCUACGAACCAUGGCUUUAUCGGCUUUGGAUAAUAAGAUUCCGCUUCUGGUUGCUCUAUCUCGUGUCGCCGGUUUGUCAGCUCAGACGCCAUCUUUCAGAGUUUCUGGAUCCACGAUCGUGAUAAAUGGAAGGAGAAAGUAAUCGUGAUUUUACCGAGUCGAACUAGCCGGAGACUGAGUCGACCUGUAGGACGGGGAGUGAAAACCGAUUUGGGUUUUCGCUUGUAUUUAAGUAGACGAAGGUGCGUUACUGUUUUAGCCUCGUUCUUCUUCUUUUAUUACGAUGAUGCCCCUAUAUUUACUUUGUUUCUCUCUCUCUUUUAGGCGUUUUUCAGAUUUGAAAAGUAAACGAUUCUUCAAAACCGGACGGACAUUGAUUACUAUCUUCGUUCAUUUGUUGACCAAUUACAAUUUUCUCUUUUAUAAAAUGUUGUCUUUACAAAAUUAAAUGACUAGUUUUAUAAAGAAAUAAAUUUAUUUUCAGUUUUGUAUUUAUUACUUGUUGUGAAU